UACGGAGAGGGCAAGCGUUGUUCGGAAUCACUGGGCAUAAAGGGCACGUAGGCGGAUCAGAAAGUCGGUUGUGAAAGCCCGGGGCUCAACCCCGGAACUGCUUCCGAAACUUCUGGUCUAGAGGGUGAGAGGGGAGAGUGGAACUUCUGGUGGAGCGGUGAAAUGCGUAGAGAUCAGAAGGAACACCGGUGGCGAAAGCG
Molecule: ribosomal RNA, 200 nt
Filed under: uncultured bacterium
Lineage: Bacteria
Description: partial 16S ribosomal RNA
Rfam family: Bacterial small subunit ribosomal RNA
Source: RNAcentral